GCCCUGGUGGUCUAGUGGUAUGAUUGUCGCUUCGGGUUACUCCCUUUCACGAUCACGUGAUUGUGACAGGUCCCGGGUUCAAAUCCCGGCUAGGGCC
Molecule: non-coding RNA, 97 nt
Organism: Cephalotrichum gorgonifer
Lineage: Eukaryota; Fungi; Ascomycota; Sordariomycetes; Microascales; Microascaceae
Source: the annotation of a GenBank genome assembly